CCCGAUGGAGGACCGAACCGACCCCCGUUGAAACGUUGGCGGAUGAGUUGUGGCUAGGGGUGAAAUUCCAAUCGAACUCGGAGAUAGCUGGUUCUCCCCGAAAUAGCUUUAGGGCUAGCGUCGAGGUAAAGUCGUGUGAAGGUAGAGCACUGAAUAUGUGAUGGCCCCAUCUCGGGGUACUGAACAUAAUCAAACUCCGAAUGUCACAAAGAUAUACUCGGCAGUCAGACAGUGGGUGAUAAGGUCCAUUGUCAAAAGGGAAACAGCCCAGACCAUCAGCUAAGGUCCCAAAAUAUAUACUAAGUGGAAAAGGAUGUGGAGAUGUCCAGACAACUAGGAGGUUGGCUCAGAAGCAGCCAUCCUUUAAAGAGUGCGUAACAGCUCACUAGUCGAAUGACUCUGCGCCGAUAAUUUACCGGGGCUAAGUAUAUUACCGAAGCUAUGGAUUUACGCGUAAGCGUGAGUGGUAGGGGAGCGUUCUAUGUGCGGAGAAGCGGUACCGUAAGGAGCCGUGGAGCGCAUAGAAGAGAGAAUGCCGGUGUGAGUAGCGAAACGUGGGUGAGAAUCCCACGCACCGAAAACCCAAGGUUUCCAGAGGAAGGUUCGUCCGCUCUGGGUAAGUCGGGACCUAAGGCGAGGCCGAGAGGCGUAGUCGAUGGACAACAGGUAGAGAUUCCUGUACUUACGGUAUGAAUGAUGGAGUGACGGAGAAGGCUAGCGGAUCCUGCUGAUGGAAAUGCAGGUGCAAGCGAGGUAGCCGACAGCCAGGCAAAUCCGGCUGUCGAAAGGCAAAGGCGUGAGGCGUAUGGAAAGCUGCGGCAAGUACAGAAGUCCGUGAAGCCAGCUUCCAAGAAAAGCUUCUAGUGAUAAUCAUACAGUAACCCGUACCGAAAAUGGACACACAUGGGUGAGGAGAGAAUCCUAAGGUGAGCGAGAGAACUAUAGCUAAGGAACUCUGCAAAAUGACUCCGUAACUUAGGGAUAAGGAGUGCUCAUAGAGAUAUGAGCCGCAGUGAAACGGCCCAAGCGACUGUUUACCAAAAACACAGCUCUAUGCUAAGUCGAAAGACGACGUAUAUGGGGUGACGCCUGCCCGGUGCUGGAAGGUUAAGAGGAUGUGUCAGCGCAAGCGAAGCAUUGAAUUGAAGCCCCAGUAAACGGCGGCCGUAACUAUAACGGUCCUAAGGUAGCGAAAUUCCUUGUCAGGUA
Molecule: ribosomal RNA, 1209 nt
Filed under: human gut metagenome
Description: bacterial LSU rRNA
Rfam family: Bacterial large subunit ribosomal RNA
Source: RNAcentral